UGGUUCUCGCAUCGAUGAAGAACGCAGCGAAAUGCGAUAAGUAAUGUGAAUUGCAGAAUUCAGUGAAUCAUCGAAUCUUUGAACGCAUAUUGCGCCCUUUGGUAUUCCGAGGGGCAUGCCUUUUCGAGCGUCAUUAGGAUCAACAAUCAAGCUUCGCUUGGAAUUGAGCGCACAGAGUCAACUGCGCUUCAAAUCAGAGUCUAAGGCGUGGUCCGUAGGUCGACGUGAGGUGCGGUCAUUGCGACCGCGCCAUCGGCGACCGGCUCGCUCGGGAUGCCAGGUAUUGCACCAGACACCUAGGCGGCCCGGGUGGGUUAGGGUUCUUCGGCCCAGCAACUGACAGUCUAGACGGGGAAGCUAGACGUUGGACCUCGGAUAAGGUAGGGAUACCCGCUGA
Molecule: unclassified non-coding RNA, 397 nt
Filed under: uncultured fungus
Lineage: Eukaryota; Fungi
Description: partial contains 5.8S ribosomal RNA and internal transcribed spacer 2
Rfam family: 5.8S ribosomal RNA (bases 1-133)
Source: RNAcentral